This 347-nucleotide ribosomal RNA is filed under the name uncultured bacterium. Its description in RNAcentral is "bacterial SSU rRNA". It matches the Rfam family "Bacterial small subunit ribosomal RNA", at positions 8 to 350 of the family's 1533-position model. The record is from RNAcentral.
AGAGUUUGAUCAUGGCUCAGGAUGAACGCUAGCUACAGGCUUAACACAUGCAAGUCGAGGGGAAACGACAUCGAAAGCUUGCUUUUGAUGGGCGUCGACCGGCGCACGGGUGAGUAACGCGUAUCCAACCUGCCCACCACUUGGGGAUAACCUUGCGAAAGUAAGACUAAUACCCAAUGACGUCUCUAGAAGACAUCUGAAGGAGAUUAAAGAUUUAUCGGUGAUGGAUGGGGAUGCGUCUGAUUAGCUUGUUGGCGGGUAACGGCCACAGGCGACGAUCAGUAGGGGUCUGAGAGGAGGUCCCCCANAUUGGAACUGAGACACGGUCCAAACUCCUACGGGAGGCA